Molecule: transfer RNA, 71 nt
Filed under: Micropruina sp.
Lineage: Bacteria; Bacillati; Actinomycetota; Actinomycetes; Propionibacteriales; Nocardioidaceae
Description: tRNA-Val
Source: RNAcentral
GUGUGGCUCUGACUAGGGGUGUCGCCUCCCUCACAAGGAGGCGGUCACGUGUUCAAGUCACGUUGCGCCCA